This 215-nucleotide ribosomal RNA is filed under the name uncultured Actinomycetales bacterium. RNAcentral's name for it is "partial 16S ribosomal RNA". It matches the Rfam family "Bacterial small subunit ribosomal RNA", at positions 120 to 334 of the family's 1533-position model. The record is from RNAcentral. Lineage: Bacteria; Bacillati; Actinomycetota; Actinomycetes; Actinomycetales.
GGUAAGUACUGCCACUGCACUCUGGGAUAAGCUUGGGAAACUGGGUCUAAUACUGGAUAUGACCUUUCUCCUUAUGGGGUUUGGUGGAAAGUUUUUCGGUGUAGGAUGAGCCCGCGGCCUAUCAGCUUGUUGGUGGGGUGAUGGCCUACCAAGGCGACGACGGGUAGCCGGCCUGAGAGGGUGAUCGGCCACAUUGGGACUGAGAUACGGCCCAG